This 267-nucleotide ribosomal RNA is filed under the name uncultured bacterium. Its description in RNAcentral is "partial 16S ribosomal RNA". It matches the Rfam family "Bacterial small subunit ribosomal RNA", at positions 1234 to 1500 of the family's 1533-position model. The record is from RNAcentral.
ACGGUACAACGAGUCGCAAGACCGCGAGGUUUAGCAAAUCUCUUAAAGCCGUUCUCAGUUCGGAUUGUAGGCUGCAACUCGCCUACAUGAAGCCGGAAUCGCUAGUAAUCGCGGAUCAGCAUGCCGCGGUGAAUACGUUCCCGGGCCUUGUACACACCGCCCGUCACACCAUGAGAGUUUGUAACACCCAAAGCCGGUGGGGUAACCUUUUGGAGCCAGCCGUCUAAGGUGGGACAGAUGAUUGGGGUGAAGUCGUAACAAGGUACC